This 253-nucleotide ribosomal RNA is filed under the name uncultured bacterium. RNAcentral describes it as "partial 16S ribosomal RNA". It matches the Rfam family "Bacterial small subunit ribosomal RNA", at positions 524 to 776 of the family's 1533-position model. The record is from RNAcentral.
UACAGAGGGUGCGAGCGUUGUCCGGAAUCACUGGGCGUAAAGGGCGCGUAGGUAGCGACCCAAGUCGAUGGUGAAAGCUCGCCGCUCAACGGCGAGUCGGCCACCGAUACUGGGUUGCUUGAGCACUGUAGAGGCUAAUGGAAUUCCGGGUGUAGCGGUGGAAUGCGUAGAGAUCCGGAGGAACACCGACGGCGUAGGCAGCGCCCUGGACGACACCUGACGCUGAGGCACGAAAGCUGGGGGAGCGAACAGG